Molecule: ribosomal RNA, 451 nt
Filed under: uncultured organism
Description: partial 16S ribosomal RNA
Rfam family: Bacterial small subunit ribosomal RNA
Source: RNAcentral
ACACUCCUACGGGAGGCAGCAGUGGGGAAUAUUGGACAAUGGGCGCAAGCCUGAUCCAGCCAUGCCGCGUGAGUGAUGAAGGCCCUAGGGUUGUAAAGCUCUUUCACCGGUGAAGAUAAUGACGGUAACCGGAGAAGAAGCCCCGGCUAACUUCGUGCCAGCAGCCGCGGUAAUAAGAAGGGGGCUAGCGUUGUUCGGAUUUACUGGGCGUAAAGCGCACGUAGGCGGACUAUUAAGUCAGGGGUGAAAUCCCGGGGCUCAACCCCGGAACUGCCUUUGAUACUGGUAGUCUUGAGUUCGAGAGAGGUGAGUGGAAUGCUGAGUGUAGAGGUGAAAUUCGUAGAUAUUCGGAGGAACACCAGUGGCGAAGGCGGCUCACUGGCUCGAUACUGACGCUGAGGUGCGAAAGCGUGGGGAGCAAACAGGAUUAGAAACCCGAGUAGUCCCAUGA